GUCACAGGUGAGCAGUGGCACUAGGAUUGGACUUGAGUUAGCUCUUCACCUUGAUCUUGGUAUUAAUGAAGAUCAUUGAUUUAUCGUGAUGGGAGGUCUACUGCCAAAGCCAGGUGGUCUCUAGUGAGUGCCACAGUCAAGGAUACCCACUUGGCACAGUGCAGACUCAGAGGAAGAAAGUGGAGUAUGGAAUAGAACAAGGCCAGCUGCCAGGCUCCCCGUGACCACUGGUUUCCAAGGCAUGAGUUGUGCUUGUUAAAAAUACAGAUUCCUCGGCCCAAAUUCCAAAGAUCUUGUUUUAGUAGAAUUUCAGAGAGUUGGCUUCUUUUUCCCGGGGUUGCUGACCGGAUAGGCUGAGCCUGGAGCUGCGGGGCCGUGAGGCCUCUGCCCUGGGAGAGCCUGCCCUGAAGAGAACAGGCCUGCAGAGACAACCGCGUCACUGCCUCCCUCUGGCUGUGGCUGCGCAGAGAGUGAAGCCUCCUGGCUGUUCUUCCUUCACCAGCUCUGCUGUGAAAAAGCCUCUUACCUUGGCGCUGAGAUUUAUGGAUCUCAUUUUGCAGACGGAGAGAAUGGAUACAGGGAAGGAAAGUGAUCAGCCAAAGCGCCUUCCUUUCCCUGGAGAAAAGUGUGCCCAUCUGACACCUUGGCCCACCUGCUCCCCGUGACGCACUCAUCUGAACCUGCCGCUGCUCCUGCUCCACGCGCCCCCACAGUGCCCUCCCCAGCUGCCGCCUCCGGCUCCAACCUCCACC
This 752-nucleotide long non-coding RNA is filed under the name Equus caballus (horse). Its description in RNAcentral is "lncRNA (ENSECAG00000047219.1)". Lineage: Eukaryota; Metazoa; Chordata; Mammalia; Perissodactyla; Equidae. The record is from RNAcentral.